GGUAACGUGGGACGAAUGGGGUGUUGUAGGCGGUGUGAGCGACAGAAGCACCAUGUUUUUUUUUUAAUUCAAUAACCAAAACGCACCAGGAAUUUCAUGGUGAGUGUUUGAUUGUUGUUUAGACUGCAGCUAGGAUGCAACUGUGCUUACCACCUUGCAGUUUUGGCUAUUUAUACAAAAAUUAAAGCAAUGCCACACCUUGCUUGUUCUUGUGCAGCAAUGGUUGAUAGUUGUAACACAGUUUCGAAAACAAGUAUGUGUACCAAAAAACUAUGGCAUGAUCGAGGAGUAUCUAACAAGGAAGUAAAUACCAUAUAUCACAAAUAUAUAUAAUUGGUAGGUCUAAAUAUCAACCAAUAUGGACAACAACUUGUUUUUAAUGGGAAUGCAUUUUAAUAAACAAUUAUUGCGUUUUUUUAAUAUUUAAAAUUUAUUCUUGAAAAGACUCAGUAACUUUUGACUAAAUUUGACUAUGUUAAAUAUAUGAUCUCCUAAUAUAAAAA
Long non-coding RNA from Dalotia coriaria, 503 nucleotides. RefSeq lists it as uncharacterized. The transcript is spliced from 3 exons. The record is from RefSeq and is a predicted model, not a curated record. Lineage: Eukaryota; Metazoa; Arthropoda; Insecta; Coleoptera; Staphylinidae.